GCCUUCGUAGUGUAGUGGUCAGCAGGCUAGGCGCGUUUUCAAAAAGUCCGUGGUUCAAGUCCUGGCGAAGGCA
This 73-nucleotide transfer RNA is filed under the name Stegodyphus mimosarum. It matches the Rfam family "tRNA". From Rfam's summary of the family: Transfer RNA (tRNA) molecules are approximately 80 nucleotides in length. Their secondary structure includes four short double-helical elements and three loops (D, anti-codon, and T loops). Lineage: Eukaryota; Metazoa; Arthropoda; Arachnida; Araneae; Eresidae. The record is from Rfam by way of RNAcentral.